AAUAAUCAAUCAUAGACCGCCACAUCAUGUAAACAUUUAAAAAUAUUUUAUUGGUGUUUUCUUUUCUUUUACCUUAUUUCUCUCUCUCUCUCUAUUUUUUUUCUUCUAUUUUUUCCCUUUUUUUCUUGGUUCUUCUUUUAUAAUAUCUAGCAAUGUAAAAAAAUGCUCAAAAUUUGCCCUCCCAAAGACGAGACGCUGGCGAUUAAUUCUGUUUUCGAAUUUCUCCGCCUGCUUGCUCGACUUAACGGGAUUGCUUGACUUAACA
Molecule: long non-coding RNA, 265 nt
Filed under: Gossypium raimondii (Peruvian cotton)
Lineage: Eukaryota; Viridiplantae; Streptophyta; Magnoliopsida; Malvales; Malvaceae
Description: long non-coding RNA (GRAI_LNC000189)
Source: RNAcentral